This 26-nucleotide non-coding RNA is filed under the name Homo sapiens (human). The record is from RNAcentral. Lineage: Eukaryota; Metazoa; Chordata; Mammalia; Primates; Hominidae.
ACCAUGCCCCUCAUUCGCCUCAUGGA